Molecule: ribosomal RNA, 497 nt
Filed under: uncultured bacterium
Lineage: Bacteria
Description: partial 16S ribosomal RNA
Rfam family: Bacterial small subunit ribosomal RNA
Source: RNAcentral
GAUGAACGCUGGCGGCGUGCCUAAUACAUGCCAGUCGAGCGAACAGACGAGGAGCUUGCUCCUCUGACGUUAGCGGCGGACGGGUGAGUAACACGUGGAUAACCUACCUAUAAGACUGGGAUAACUUCGGGAAACCGGAGCUAAUACCGGAUAAUAUAUUGAACCGCAUGGUUCAAUAGUGAAAGACGGUUUUGCUGUCACUUAUAGAUGGAUCCGCGCCGCAUUAGCUAGUUGGUAAGGUAACGGCUUACCAAGGCAACGAUGCGUAGCCGACCUGAGAGGGUGAUCGGCCACACUGGAACUGAAACACGGUCCAGACUCCUACGGGAGGCAGCAGUAGGGAAUCUUCCGCAAUGGGCGAAAGCUUGACGGAGCAACGCCGCGUGAGUGAUGAAGGUCUUCGGAUCGUAAAACUCUGUUAUUAGGGAAGAACAAAUGUGUAAGUAACUAUGCACGUCUUGACGGUACCUAAUCAGAAAGCCACGGCUAACUACGUG